RNAcentral lists this ribosomal RNA (676 nucleotides) under uncultured bacterium. Its description in RNAcentral is "bacterial SSU rRNA". It matches the Rfam family "Bacterial small subunit ribosomal RNA", at positions 44 to 715 of the family's 1533-position model. The record is from RNAcentral.
AUGCUUAACACAUGCAAGUCGAACGGUAACAGAGAGGUGCUUGCACCUUUGCUGACGAGCGGCGGACGGGUGAGUAAUGCUUGGGAACAUGCCUUGAGGUGGGGGACAACAGUUGGAAACGACUGCUAAUACCGCAUAAUGUCUACGGACCAAAGGGGGCUUCGGCUCUCGCCUUUAGAUUGGCCCAAGUGGGAUUAGCUAGUUGGUGAGGUAAUGGCUCACCAAGGCAACGAUCCCUAGCUGGUUUGAGAGGAUGAUCAGCCACACUGGGACUGAGACACGGCCCAGACUCCUACGGGAGGCAGCAGUGGGGAAUAUUGCACAAUGGGCGCAAGCCUGAUGCAGCCAUGCCGCGUGUGUGAAGAAGGCCUUCGGGUUGUAAAGCACUUUCAGUCAGGAGGAAAGGUUAGUAGUUAAUACCUGCUAGCUGUGACAUUACUGGCAGAAGAAGCACCGGCUAACUCCGUGCCAGCAGCCGCGGUAAUACGGAGGGUGCGAGCGUUAAUCGGAAUUACUGGGCGUAAAGCGUACGCAGGCGGUUUGUUAAGCGAGAUGUGAAAGCCCCGGGCUCAACCUGGGAACUGCAUUUCGAACUGGCAAACUAGAGUGUGAUAGAGGGUGGUAGAAUUUCAGGUGUAGCGGUGAAAUGCGUAGAGAUCUGAAGGAACACCAGUGG